AUUGAACGCUGGCGGCAGGCCUAACACAUGCAAGUCGAGCGGUAGCACAGAGAGCUUGCUCUCGGGUGACGAGCGGCGGACGGGUGAGUAAUGUCUGGGAAACUGCCUGAUGGAGGGGGAUAACUACUGGAAACGGUAGCUAAUACCGCAUAACGUCGCAAGACCAAAGUGGGGGACCUUCGGGCCUCAUGCCAUCAGAUGUGCCCAGAUGGGAUUAGCUAGUAGGUGGGGUAACGGCUCACCUAGGCGACGAUCCCUAGCUGGUCUGAGAGGAUGACCAGCCACACUGGAACUGAGACACGGUCCAGACUCCUACGGGAGGCAGCAGUGGGGAAUAUUGCACAAUGGGCGCAAGCCUGAUGCAGCCAUGCCGCGUGUGUGAAGAAGGCCUUCGGGUUGUAAAGCACUUUCAGCGGGGAAGAAGGCGGUGAGGUUAAUAACCUUGUCGAUUGACGUUACCCGCAGAAGAAGCACCGGCUAACUCCGUGCCAGCAGCCGCGGUAAUACGGAGGGUGCAAGCGUUAAUCGGAAUUACUGGGCGUAAAGCGCACGCAGGCGGUCUGUCAAGUCGGAUGUGAAAUCCCCGGGCUCAACCUGGGAACUGCAUUCGAAACUGGCAGGCUAGAGUCUUGUAGAGGGGGGUAGAAUUCCAGGUGUAGCGGUGAAAUGCGUAGAGAUCUGGAGGAAUACCGGUGGCGAAGGCGGCCCCCUGGACAAAGACUGACGCUCAGGUGCGAAAGCGUGGGGAGCAAACAGGAUUAGAUACCCUGGUAGUCCACGCCGUAAACGAUGUCGAUUUGGAGGUUGUACCCUUGAGGCGUGGCUUCCGGAGCUAACGCGUUAAAUCGACCGCCUGGGGAGUACGGCCGCAAGGUUAAAACUCAAAUGAAUUGACGGGGGCCCGCACAAGCGGUGGAGCAUGUGGUUUAAUUCGAUGCAACGCGAAGAACCUUACCUGGUCUUGACAUCCACAGAACUUUCCAGAGAUGGAUUGGUGCCUUCGGGAACUGUGAGACAGGUGCUGCAUGGCUGUCGUCAGCUCGUGUUGUGAAAUGUUGGGUUAAGUCCCGCAACGAGCGCAACCCUUAUCCUUUGUUGCCAGCGGUUAGGCCGGGAACUCAAAGGAGACUGCCAGUGAUAAACUGGAGGAAGGUGGGGAUGACGUCAAGUCAUCAUGGCCCUUACGACCAGGGCUACACACGUGCUACAAUGGCAUAUACAAAGAGAAGCGACCUCGCGAGAGCAAGCGGACCUCAUAAAGUAUGUCGUAGUCCGGAUUGGAGUCUGCAACUCGACUCCAUGAAGUCGGAAUCGCUAGUAAUCGUAGAUCAGAAUGCUACGGUGAAUACGUUCCCGGGCCU
RNAcentral lists this ribosomal RNA (1361 nucleotides) under uncultured bacterium. RNAcentral describes it as "bacterial SSU rRNA". It matches the Rfam family "Bacterial small subunit ribosomal RNA", at positions 28 to 1381 of the family's 1533-position model. The record is from RNAcentral.